This is a long non-coding RNA of Ailuropoda melanoleuca (giant panda), 3674 nucleotides long. RefSeq lists it as uncharacterized. The record is from RefSeq and is a predicted model, not a curated record. The transcript is spliced from 3 exons. Lineage: Eukaryota; Metazoa; Chordata; Mammalia; Carnivora; Ursidae.
GUCAGGGGAGAGGGAAAGAUCAACAGUGCCGCUUCUCGGAUCCUCGUGGCUUUUGGUCCAGGAGGCCCUGAGGAGUCCCCAGGGGCAGGGCUAAGGGUUCAGGAAGAGCUGGGUGCAAAGUUGGAGCUCUAUCUGCAAAGCACACCCCUCGCCCCUUUCCCCUCCCGGAACUGCUGAUGACUGUGGAUGAGUCCGUGGGAGAAACCGAGACGCAGCCACGCGCGCCCUCCUGUGUGUGCUGUUCCCUUUCCUCCAGCUCCACCAAAGAACGCUGACUGAUACAGGGAGCCCCAGGGCCCUGACUGAGAUUGACAGACCUGAGAAUUCUCUGGAAUGGUCAACAUUUGAUGAGCGUCUACUAUGUGUCGACCUCUGUGUCAGGCACCGGCAUACUGACUCUCUGGAAAGGCACUGGACCUGGACAAUGAGACACAGCUGAGGACCUGGAGAUGUGGAGAUCUGUCUAUGGGAUCAUUACCUGGAUGGGCCCGAAAUCCAACAACAGGUGUCCUCACGAGAGGCACACAGAGGAGAGACACCCAGACAGAAGAGGAGAAGGCCGUGUGAACGUUGAAGCAGAGACUGGAGUGCCGCAGCCAUCAGCCAGCGAACGCCCGGAGCCCCCGACGCUGGGAGACGCAGGAGCAGGGUCUCCCCUAGAGCUUCCACAGGGAGUGUGGCCCUGCCGACACCCUGCAUUUGGACUUGCAGCCAUCCGAGUGGCAAGACAUUCAGUUGCUGUGGUUGUGAGCUACGAAGUUGAUGGUCAUUCGUUGCAGGAACUCCAGGAAAUGACUACACAUCCCAACGCACAUCUUCUAAGAAUUCCUGGGGGUUUGCACUCCUGAGACUCUUCCACAUGUGCCCGAUUUUGUCCCAUUUUGCUCCAUGUCCACCUGCAAGUGAGAAGGUCCCCUCAUCUUGUUGCAAGUGAGAAGGUCCCCUCAUCUUGUUCCACGUGAAAUGUGCUCGCACCAAGAAUUUCUUGUAUUUAGGAAACCAGGGGGCAGGAGUCUAGCAGAGACAGGUCCUGUUCUCCAGUACAAAUACUGAGUCUUUCCUCCUCCAAAUUUGGGUAAAUAUAAUGAUCCCCAAGCUUUACAGAGUGAAUCAGACACCUGCGGGUGAGCAAAUCCUGAGAAACAGAAUGGUGCACACGAGUGUGUGCGUGUGUGUGUGUGACAGAGAGUGUAAGUACGUGUGUUCCCCAAGCUGUUCCCCUCCUUCACAUCCCCACCAACCUCGCUUCCAGGGGAGGAAGGAAAGGCAUCCUUCCAGCCAGCAAGCCAGAGGAGCCUGGCCGUCAGGAUAGGAGAUGCUGCCCAGAGUCUGCUUCUGAGAACAAAGAUGAGCGAACUCAAAGAAGACUGCACAGGACUGAAGAUUUUCACGUGUGUCCGUCUGGCAGUGGUGGGGGAGGUUUCCGGAGGAGCAGGGCAGGCUCCGGCCACACAGCCUCCGUGAUGACUCACAGGUCCACAGCUCGGCCAUGCCUCCCCUCUAUGUGCCUGACUGUCGUGCAGUGGGCUGUGUGGAUGUUGGUCACCCCCCUUCACUGCUGGCCUUUUCCAGGAUGUCCCUUUGAGGCUACAACCAUCUAGCCAGUUAUACAAGUCAGAACCCUGGGAGCGUCCCCUGACCCCUUCCUCCUUUUUGUCCCCCAAACCCAUCCCAGCCCCAGAGCCCCAGAGUGUUUUUCUUACUGUCACUAAAAUGUCACCUCAGCAGCUUUCCCCUUACCAGCUCUGUUGGCUCCUUGUUCCUCCCUCCAUGGCCCUUGUCAUGGUUGCAGUUUGCCUAGAGAAGAGAAACCACAGCUGCUUGUUCUCUGGGGGUGUCCCCAGUGCUCCCAAACAGGGCCUGGUGCUCAAGAAAUACUUGUCAAAUAAUUGAAUAAAUGAGUAAAUGAAUGAGCAAAUGCUAUGUUGAACCAGGGUGCUGGAAAGAAAUAGAAAGGCUUCCCCAGCAGAGUUUGAGGUCCUCUUGGGAAUAGCCCCAGGUGUCCUAGAUGACAAGAAAGGAGAACCCCCCCCCACCUGAACACAGGGCUGGACCCAGCCAGAAGCCUCCCAGGUCCCGGAACCUGGCGCGGGAGCGGAACGCCCAUCCCAGUGCUUUGGGCGUUGGGAGACUGUUCCUCUCCACUCGUCUGGUGCUUGCCAGCUGUGUUUUCCAUUCAUUAAACUUUUCCAAAGGGUGUUGGGUUCAGAUCGUCUGUGAAUGGUGGGUGCUGAAUGGGGCAAGGGGGUCAGGGAACGUGAACUAUACACCCUUCCGGCUGCCUUCAGGAAGACUUCAAAGGAGGGUGAGUCCAGUGCAAUUAAGGGAGCUGUUCUGAGCUCCCUGUGUGGGUGGCAGCCUGCCUCGGGUCCGGCAGCAAGCUCUAUUACAAUCCGCUCCGUCCACACUGCAGUUGGCCCCACGCCGACAUUUUAUUUUGAAAUUGUCAAACCUACAGAAAAAUUGAAAAAAGACUACAUUAAAUUCCCCCCCCCCACACACACCUUCCUCUAGAUUCUCCAACUGUUAGCAUUUUGUCAUAUUUGCUUUCUCUUUCUCGUCCCCUUUCUCUGUGUGUUUUACAUGCUUUUAUUUUGCUGAACCAUUUGCAAGCAAGUUGCUGACAUCUUGAUGCUUCACUUCUAAAUAUCUCAGCAUCUCCGACUAAGGAUGUUGUGCCACAAAACCACAAUACCAUUUUCACAACCAUAAUAGCAUCCAGUGUACCAUCAGUAUUCAAAUCUCUACCAUUGUCCCCCAAAUGUCAUUUAAAGUUGGAUUUUUUUUCUGCUAUCCAGAAUCCAGUCGAGUUUCCCGUAUGAUAUUUGGUUAUGUCUCUUUAAUCUCCCAGGAUGUCAGAUAGUCUGUCACCUUUGUGUCGUUGCUGUGCCUAUUGGUUUUUCUGGUGACCUUGGCUCUUUUGAAGAGUCCUGGCCAGUUGGCGUGUGGGAUGUCCCCCAUGCCGAAUUAAUCUGGUUAUUUACUCAUGGCUACAUUCAGGUUUACUACGUUGGGCAAGAGUACGACCUAGGUGAUAGUGCGUACUGCUACUUGAAUCACAUCAGAGAGAAGAUAAUGUCAGGUUGUGCCCUCUUGGUGAUGCUGAGUGAUGGUCUCCAUUUUCUCCUUUGCGAUUACGAAGUAGCUCGUGGGAUUCUCACGUGGGCCUGGCCUCGACUGAAUGGCCCGUUCCCCUAAAUGGCUGAGCCAUCGGCAGCCAGGCUUGCCCGAAUCAAAUACCACAAGGGGGGGUGAAAGUGGUGGUGGUUCAUUCUUUUCUUCCUCCACCUUGACGAGCUGGAAUGUCCCCCAGCUCUUUCCCUAAAAAUCACUGUGGAUUCAUGGAUUUAAAAAAAAAUGUGCGAUAACCUGACACCAUCAUUAUCCAUUUUGGUGUUCACGUAGCCCCGCACGGAGCAGCGUGAGUCCUUCAGCUCCUGCAGCCCUUGCGCGGGAUCACAAUUUAUCUUUGGCACCACAAGAUAUUCUGGGCUCACGCUGUACAUUUUUAGCCCCAGACCUAGAAUUAACCAUUUCUGCAAGGAGUCCUGGCUCCCUUCGUGGUGAAUGACAGCUUGAAAACAAGAACACAGGGGCACCUGGCUGGCUCAGUCGGUUAAGCGUCUGCCUUUGGCUCAGGUCAUGAUCCCAGGGUCCUGGGAUGGAGCCCUGCG